This 254-nucleotide ribosomal RNA is filed under the name uncultured bacterium. Its description in RNAcentral is "partial 16S ribosomal RNA". It matches the Rfam family "Bacterial small subunit ribosomal RNA", at positions 524 to 776 of the family's 1533-position model. The record is from RNAcentral.
CACGUAGGGUGCGAGCGUUGUCCGGAAUUAUUGGGCGUAAAGAGCUCGUAGGCGGUGUGUCGCGUCGGCCGUGAAAACCUGCAGCUUAACUGUGGGCGUGCGGUCGAUACGGGCAUCACUGGAGUUCGGCAGGGGAGACUGGAAUUCCUGGUGUAGCGGUGAAAUGCGCAGAUAUCAGGAGGAACACCGGUGGCGAAGGCGGUUCUCUGGGCCGAUACUGACGCUGAGGAGCGAAAGCGUGGGGAGCGAACAGG